Molecule: ribosomal RNA, 431 nt
Filed under: uncultured Corynebacterium sp.
Lineage: Bacteria; Bacillati; Actinomycetota; Actinomycetes; Mycobacteriales; Corynebacteriaceae
Description: bacterial SSU rRNA
Rfam family: Bacterial small subunit ribosomal RNA
Source: RNAcentral
UGUGACGGUACCUGCAGAAGAAGCACCGGCUAACUACGUGCCAGCAGCCGCGGUAAUACGUAGGGUGCGAGCGUUGUCCGGAAUUACUGGGCGUAAAGAGCUCGUAGGUGGUUUGUCGCGUCGUCUGUGAAAUUCCGGGGCUUAACUCCGGGCGUGCAGGCGAUACGGGCAUAACUUGAGUGCUGUAGGGGAGACUGGAAUUCCUGGUGUAGCGGUGAAAUGCGCAGAUAUCAGGAGGAACACCGAUGGCGAAGGCAGGUCUCUGGGCAGUUACUGACGCUGAGGAGCGAAAGCAUGGGUAGCGAACAGGAUUAGAUACCCUGGUAGUCCAUGCCGUAAACGAUGAGUGCUAAGUGUUGGAGGGUUUCUGCUCUUCAGUGCUGCAGCUAACGCAUUAAGCACUCCGCCUGGGGAGUACGACCGCAAGGUUG